RNAcentral lists this long non-coding RNA (482 nucleotides) under Pan troglodytes (chimpanzee). RNAcentral's name for it is "long non-coding RNA NONPTRT011472". The record is from RNAcentral. Lineage: Eukaryota; Metazoa; Chordata; Mammalia; Primates; Hominidae.
CUCAUUUUUGGUUGUUUGCUUUUUGGCUAGCACCUUCAUGAAUCAGAACUUUCCAUAUAUGGAGGUUAUUCAGCAUGUCCUUUGUGAGUAAUGGUUACAGGUAUAAGGUGCAUACAGGUAGAUGUGAAGAAGGCAGUGGAGGAUAACAGGAAAAUGGAAGAGAAUGAGGAAAUGUAUGGUCCUGUGGAAGAAACACUGGAAUUAAGGCAUCAAUUGCGGGCAAGGCUGAAUCCAGGUUUUGGGGGCCUGAAGCUUAAUCGAUGUGGAGGACUUCUUUGAGGAAAAGCAUGCAAAAUUACAAAUACAAAAUUAGGUAUGAAAGUGGAAUUUCAUGUAGAAUGAGAGAACAAAUUAAAAUAAAUCACAUCCCUUUUUCUCGGAUCUUUUUUGGCUAUUUAUUGGAAAUGCUUACAUAAAAAUGCUUCAUGAUUACAAGCUGACUUUCCCUCCUCAUGUGGAACUUUACAAACCCCAGCAAUUCC